GCGGGAUUUUGAGGGGCGAGUCCACUUUAUGUGGGCGGGGCUACAGCCGAGCGACUGGGGUCUGGGUGGCCCGGGGCUUUGGAGGCAGAGCGAGCGAGGGUGCCUCUGCGGGACGCGGCGGCCGCGAGCGGGUCUGCUGGCGGUCCAGGAGGGUGGCCCGCGCCCGCCGCUGCCCAGGAGGCGGGAGCAGUCCCCAUUCCGGGCCGUCGGCUCGGGAGGCCUAGUUCCCGCUGCCGGGGGCCCCGGGUGUGGAGGGCGCCGGGAGCCCCCAGCGCCCCGAGUGACCGCCCCUCUGCGAGGUUCCAGGUGUGCUGGAUGUGCCGGUCGUGCAGUCCCGCAGAGAUGACGACCCGGCGGGACGCCCCGGCGCUGGGGGGCAGGAACCGGGUGGCAUCGCCGGCCAGCUCACCCAGACCUUAAGCGCCUGUCCACCCCGCUCUCCAAAACGCCUCUGGGCCGGCCUCGCCACCUGGGGACACUCGCUCCGGGGGAGCCGUGCUUUCCAACUUGGGGGAACUCCACAGUGGCCGGCUUGCGGCCGAACCUUACCGCCCACCCGGGGCUGGGAUCCGCCCUGGCCCCCGCGGGCCGGCGCAGCACUCUCCUCCGCGGCUUCUCUCCAGGGGUUCUUGGGAGCGCGCCUUUUAUGAAAGCUGAUUCAGUCAAAACCAGAGCAUCGCUUUUUCAAGAAAUCAUGAGUUGAAAUAUGUCCACGGUAAACAAGCAAGGCUUAGAGCCAGGCUCUGUUCUGGCGGUGGAAUUUGGCCGCACUGACCGGUGAACAUGCCGAGUGAGGGUGCCGUGUUGAUUGACAUGCUGAAUAUUUAUAAUACACAUAACAUUAUCAUACUGAAUAUUCUCUUAGAAGUUAAGUAAGAUGUAAAGACAAGUUCUUAGGUCUACUCCACAAGGAGCGGAUGGACUUCCAUGCCGUUUCACAGCCUGUGUUGGAAAACACGUGGAUUUCAAUGGUUUGGUAUGAGAUGAUGUGAAAAUCGUUAAUUAAUAAGUUCAUACCGAAUGUGUUGAAGUGAUGCUAAUAAUUAACUUUAGAUACACUGGAUUGGAGUAAAAUGCCACUUGGUUAGUUAAUUUCACCUGUUUGUUUUGCUUUUCUAAAUGGGGCUUCUAGAAAAGGUUUAAUUAUAUUUCCAUUGGACCACACUGGUCAGCAAAUUACAGUAUCCAUAGAAUUCUAAUACCCUCAUUUUGUUUGUUUUUGUCAAUGAACCUUUAUUUAAUUUAUUUAUAUGUAGUGCUGAGAAUCAAGCCCAGGACCUCAUACAUGCUAGGCAAGCGCUCUACCACUGAGCCCCAGCCCAGCCCUCAUUUUGUUUCGUCACCACUAAUCAGCUACCACCUCGCCAGGGUUUU
This 1374-nucleotide long non-coding RNA is filed under the name Marmota monax (woodchuck). Lineage: Eukaryota; Metazoa; Chordata; Mammalia; Rodentia; Sciuridae. The record is from RNAcentral.